This is a long non-coding RNA of Acanthopagrus latus (yellowfin seabream), 712 nucleotides long. RefSeq lists it as uncharacterized. The transcript has 3 exons. NCBI's taxonomy places the organism in Eukaryota, Metazoa, Chordata, Actinopteri, Spariformes, Sparidae. The record is from RefSeq and is a predicted model, not a curated record.
GACGCGUCUUUAUAUGUUUAUCCUGCACAGCGGAUUUAGGUUGCUGUGUGAGGCACCGCACACUCAGUUGUUUGGACUUUAAUUAAUGGAUGAAUUACCCAAUCUAAUGUUUGAUCAUGUGAACGGAGAUAAUGGAAAGCGUGUUAAAAUCCUCUGUUUAAGGUAUGAAAAUCACUCGCCUUCAAGCGCUUGCUGUGCAGUUUGAAAAUCUAUUAACCAUGCAAACAAGGGCAGCCAUGCAUUGCAUGCACACUGUCAAGAAGUGCACAGGAAGAAGGCGCAGGUCAUCGCAUCAACAGGUGGUCGAAGCUGAGAUACAUACAAGGAGGAGCAGGUGGCCAAGAGGAAGAUACAGAAGACGAGCAAACAUCUACAAGCAGUUUGCACAUCAACCCCAGCCGGUCAGCAAGUCUGUAGACUCCACAACAGCCCUGAUCCACCACCCUCAACCAGCAGUUCUGGGACAGAUACUCAGCUAUCCGUGCCACAUUUGACAGCUGUGAUUGUGCUGCUUUUAGCCAGGAUUAAGUGUUCAACUUCCUCAUAUUGGUCUGAUAUUAUAGUUUGCUCUGGUAGACUUGUCCAUGUUUGUAAUCAGUCAUGUACAGCAAAAAUCUCCCUUGUUUCUGAACACGAUCAUGGCUAAAUGUGGGAAACUUGACUCGACCUUUUGAUUUGAUGAAAACAGCUUAUUGUAGUUGUUUACGCUGCA